This 253-nucleotide ribosomal RNA is filed under the name uncultured bacterium. RNAcentral describes it as "partial 16S ribosomal RNA". It matches the Rfam family "Bacterial small subunit ribosomal RNA", at positions 524 to 776 of the family's 1533-position model. The record is from RNAcentral.
UACGUAGGGGGCGAGCGUUGUCCGGAAUUAUUGGGCGUAAAGAGCGUGUAGGCGGUUCGGUAAGUCUGCCGUGAAAACCUGGGGCUCAACCCUGGGCGUGCGGUGGAUACUGCCGGGCUAGAGGGUGGUAGAGGCGAGUGGAAUUCCCGGUGUAGCGGUGAAAUGCGCAGAUAUCGGGAGGAACACCAGUAGCGAAGGCGGCACGCUGGGCCAUUCCUGACGCUGAGACGCGAAAGCUAGGGGAGCGAACGGG